Molecule: transfer RNA, 73 nt
Filed under: Camelus bactrianus (Bactrian camel)
Lineage: Eukaryota; Metazoa; Chordata; Mammalia; Artiodactyla; Camelidae
Also listed under: 2 other names
Rfam family: tRNA
About the family: Transfer RNA (tRNA) molecules are approximately 80 nucleotides in length. Their secondary structure includes four short double-helical elements and three loops (D, anti-codon, and T loops).
Source: Rfam by way of RNAcentral
GAGGGUAUAGCUCAAGUGGUAGAGAGCAUGCUUAGCAUGCACAAGGUCCUGGGUUCAAUCCCCAGUACCUCCU